This 222-nucleotide long non-coding RNA is filed under the name Lathyrus oleraceus (garden pea). RNAcentral describes it as "Pisum sativum (pea) long non-coding RNA (PSAT_LNC042346)". Lineage: Eukaryota; Viridiplantae; Streptophyta; Magnoliopsida; Fabales; Fabaceae. The record is from RNAcentral.
AGCAACCUUAGAUGAAGAUCAAAAGGUCAUUCAGAAACUCCAAGAGCUCUAUGUUGAAUGGAAUGGCAAGUUCCACAACUUGGCUAGGUUUGUUAACCUCAACAUGUUGGAACUCCCAGAAAAACUCCAGGAAGCAGAUUGGUGCAUGUGUCCAGAAAACACGCCUCCUCAAGUUUUCAAUUUCGUCAAGUUUAUCAAGAAAAUGAUGAAUGAGCUCACCAC